GGCAGGAGCAUAUGGGGCUGGAUGGACCGAUAACUGGGCGUGGUGGGGUAGAGAAGGGCGUACAGGGCUGGAUGGACCGAUAACCGGGUGUGGUGCGGUAGGGAGGUGCAUACAGGGCUGGAUGGACCGAUAACCGGGCGUGGCGCAGCAGGCAGGAGCAUAUGGGGCUGGAUGGACCGAUAACCGGGUGUGGUGCGGUAGGGAGGGGCGUACGGGGCUAGAUGGACCGAUAACCAGGCCCAGUGCGGCAGGGAGGGCGUACAGGGCUGGAUGAACUGAUAACUGAGCGUGCCACAGUAGGCAGGAGCGUACGGGGCUGGAUGGACUGAUAACUGGGCAUGGCGCAGCAGGCAAGAGCAUAUGGGAUUGGAUGGACCGAUAACCGGGCCCGGCGCGACAGGAAGGGGUGUAUAAGCCUGGCUGGAGUGUGUGUCUGAGCACUAGGCUGUUAACAACAUGUCCCGGUGCAGGGUGGAAAUUCGGUGCCAUCCAUGGGAGGUCGGGGCGCUUCCCUGCUGAGUACGUCCAGCCUGUGGCAGCCCCAGAUUUUAUCCAGCUGCCAGCAGACAGGAAAGAGGAACCCAAGAACAAGCAGGGCAAGGUGGCGGCCUCGGCGGCCGUGGCAGUGGCCGUGGCCUCCACGGCCGUGGCUCAGGAGCUGGACAGGAAGAUCGAGGUGUACCCCAUGGGCAGCGACUAUGCGGAGAGCGUGGAGGAGUAUGGCAGCGAGCUUCCUGGGGACGGUGCCCUACAGGGCAGGCAGUUCCCCAUGCAGGAGUUUGCCAAGAAGUAUUUCCGGGUGGCGCAGAGGAUGAAGACGUGAGUGCUGGCCGAGGGGAGGGAGUGUCCUUUAACCUUCCAGCCUCCCGUGACCCUGUGUGCAAUGAGUUUGGUGGGGUUCAGCCCAGUUCCCAGUGGGACAGUAGCCAUGUCACAGAAAGCACCAUCCUCCGUGGCGCUACCUGACCCCUGGUUGGCAUCCUGGGGCUGACUGCCCCGCUGCGGACCCAGGCUCAGUGCCCCGCCCAAGGGCUGCCUGCGGAGGCAGCAUACAGAGAAGGAAGGGCCUGGUAUUGCUUGAGAGCGACCUCUCUAGCUGAUUAUGGAACUGCACUGACGGGCUUUCUGGUCAGUCCAGCUGCAUGCCUG
RNAcentral lists this long non-coding RNA (1149 nucleotides) under Gopherus agassizii (Agassiz's desert tortoise). RNAcentral's name for it is "lncRNA (ENSGAGG00000007468.1)". The record is from RNAcentral. Lineage: Eukaryota; Metazoa; Chordata; Testudines; Testudinidae.